AUACUAACCUGCCAGGGGAGAUACCAUGAUCAUGAAGGUGAUAUUCCAGGGCAAGGCUUAUCCAUUGCACUCUGGUUGUGCUGACCCCUGAGAUUUCUCCAAAUGUAGGAAAUUCGACUGCAUAAUUUGUGGUAGUGAGGGAACACGUUCGCCCUCU
This is a small nuclear RNA of Microtus ochrogaster (prairie vole), 157 nucleotides long. Its record names the gene U1. It matches the Rfam family "U1 spliceosomal RNA". Rfam says of the family: U1 is a small nuclear RNA (snRNA) component of the spliceosome (involved in pre-mRNA splicing). Its 5' end forms complementary base pairs with the 5' splice junction, thus defining the 5' donor site of an intron. The record is from Ensembl. Lineage: Eukaryota; Metazoa; Chordata; Mammalia; Rodentia; Cricetidae.